RNAcentral lists this unclassified non-coding RNA (298 nucleotides) under Hevea brasiliensis (rubber tree). The record is from RNAcentral. Lineage: Eukaryota; Viridiplantae; Streptophyta; Magnoliopsida; Malpighiales; Euphorbiaceae.
GUUUGCUAUAGCUAGUGAUAUGCUAGAAGCUCUCUCUUCAGUCCUCUCCUCUCCUUCCACCGUUGACCCUUUCUGUGAGUGACCCUCUUUUGAACAGUCGCUUUCUUCAACCUUCUCUCUCUUUCUCCUAAACCUUCAAAUAUGGUGGUCCAUCUCAGCUUCUAUCAGUGUAAUCUUUGUGAGUUGCUGUAUGGGAGGGGAGGGAGGUUUCAGAGGGUUACAUGGCAUAGAUCUGCAUAAGAAUAUUACACAUUAGCUAGGCAUUUACAUACAAAUCUUUGUCAAUUUUGUAUUUGAG